Molecule: ribosomal RNA, 478 nt
Filed under: uncultured bacterium
Lineage: Bacteria
Description: partial 16S ribosomal RNA
Rfam family: Bacterial small subunit ribosomal RNA
Source: RNAcentral
GACGAACGCUGGCGGCGUGCUUAACACAUGCAAGUCGAACGGUAAGGCCCUUCGGGGUACACGAGUGGCGAACGGGUGAGUAACACGUGGGUGAUCUGCCCUGCACUUCGGGAUAAGCCUGGGAAACUGGGUCUAAUACCGGAUAGGACCACUGCCUGCAUGGGUGGUGGUGGAAAGCUUUUGCGGUGUGGGAUGGGCCCGCGGCCUAUCAGCUUGUUGGUGGGGUGAGGGCCUACCAAGGCGACGACGGGUAGCCGGCCUGGGAGGGUGGCCGGCCACACUGGGACUGGGAUACGGCCCAGACUCCUACGGAAGGCAGCAGUGGGGAAUAUUGCACAAUGGGCGCAAGCCUGAUGCAGCGACGCCGCGUGAGGGAUGACGGCCUUCGGGUUGUAAACCUCUUUCAGCACCGACGAAGCGCAAGUGACGGUAGGUGCAGAAGAAGGACCGGCCAACUACGUGCCAGCCGCCGCAGUAA